This 73-nucleotide transfer RNA is filed under the name Fleutiauxia armata. RNAcentral describes it as "tRNA-Ile". The record is from RNAcentral. Lineage: Eukaryota; Metazoa; Arthropoda; Insecta; Coleoptera; Chrysomelidae.
UUAUAAAGUGCCUGAAAAAAAGGAUAAUUUUGAUGGAAUUAAUCAUGUGCCCCCCCCCACCUUUAUAAUCUUA